Molecule: long non-coding RNA, 2191 nt
Filed under: Equus asinus (donkey)
Lineage: Eukaryota; Metazoa; Chordata; Mammalia; Perissodactyla; Equidae
Description: lncRNA (ENSEASG00005027286.1)
Source: RNAcentral
GCUAAACCGUAAAAUCCCUCUCUUGCCCACUUUCUGGAUCAUUGGUUUUGAUAUUUAUGCAUAUUUUAACAUAGAAUUUGUGAUAAUUGUUUCCUUUAUUCAAAUAAUAAUGUUAGAACGACAAACACUGCCUGAAAUGGACAAGGUGUUUCUUCGCCGACUGCGUGGUGGGAGUGAUUCAGCUGAGUCUGUUAUUCCUACGAGGGCUAACCUGCGGUCCUUCCUACCUUAUCGUCUCCAGGUGAGGGUGUAAUGAGAAGGUGGCUGCUACAACCAGGAAGAGGGUCCUCACCACAACCCGACCAUGGUGGUAUCCUGAUCUCAGACUUCCAGUCUCCAAAACGAGUGAACGUUUUCCACACAGAGAAAGCGGGUGUGCCAGUCGUUAAUGUGUUAUCUCUCAGCUUCGAAAUAACCUUGCGUUGCCCUGCUUGGUGAUGCUGGAGCUGGGCCCUGUAGACAUUUCUCCUUCGCCAGCUGGCUGGCUGUUAGGCUUUGGGAACAGAGGGUGCUGGAGCACCACUUCAGGGCCAAACAGGAGGAAGGCAUUUCCCUUCCUGUUCCUAGCCCUGGCACCAGCAGGUCAAAGUGGAGAGGGCCUGGAAGUGCUCACCUCAGCAUCCUGCCUGGACCUGCUCCGCUAGCCUGCAAGUUUCCCACUACCCAGGGCCAUUGCUGUGGAUCAGCCCCCAUCUGCAAUCUCUGUCCAGGUUUUCCAGAAAGCAGACCUGAGGCAAGACUCCUGUGCUCGACUUUGUCAGUGAGUGCGACCACAGGAGCCAGAGAAAAGGACAGAGAGAGUCCAGCGGGGAAGGAGAGGAACCGGGGGCAAAGACGCCUUAGCGAGCUGGCUGCCUCCAAGUGUGACUGAGGCUCAGCCCCGCCAAACCGCCCAGACGUGCCUCACGCUCUCCCCUGGCUCCAGGGGAAAUUUCUCCUGUUGGUCAGAGAGAUGAUGAAAAAGAAUGCAGAAGAGAUGAGAUGUGAGAAGGACUUCACCACCAUUGCCGGCUUUGAAGAUGAAGGGGUCCAUGAGCCAAAGAAUGUGGGAUGGCCUCUAGAAGCUGAGAACAACAUGAGGCCAACAGCCAGCAAGGAGACUUCAGCUGGAGACUUCAGCACUACAACUGCAUGGAACUAAGUUCUGCCAACAACCUGCAUGCAGCAGGGAGCAUCCGCUCCCCCAGGGCCGUCAGUAAGGAAAGCUGUCCUGGCACCUUGGUUCUAGCCUGGUAAGACCCGUAUGUACUUCUGACCUAUAAAACUGUAAGAUGAUAAAUUUGUGUUGUUUUAAGCUGUUAAAUUUGUGGUCAUGUGUUAUGACAGCAAUAGAAAACUAAUACAAAAGUAUGUGUGCUUUCCAGUUGUGUGCAGUGUUUUAUAUUUAUCCAUUAGAUGAAGUUUGUUAAUUAUGUUUAGAUCAACUGUAUCCUUACUCAUUAUCUGUCUUAUGAAUAAUUGUGAAAGAUAAAGGUGGAUUUUUUUCAGUUUCUCUUUAUAGAUCUGUUAAUUUUUGCUUUAUGUGUUUUGAAGCCAUGUUAAGUAUUAGUCAUUAAGAAUUGUUAUAGUGAUAAUUGUCAUAUUUGUAACCCACUCUGAAAAUCUUUGUCAUUUAAAAGCGUAGUUUAGUUUGUUAAAUUCAUUGAAGUUAGUGAGACAUUUGGAUUCCUCUAUGCUCCCUUAGUUUGUGGUUUUCAUUUGUCCUUCCUGUUCUACUUCUCUUUUUUCUCCUUUCUUGCCUUUUUUUAGGUUUGAUCAUAUUUCUCUUUCCCUCAUUCUCUUUUUACUCUCUCCAAAGUCGUGAGUUUUAUACUCUAUUGCUAUACUUUUACUGACUACCUUAAACAUUUUAAUAUAAGUAAUUAAUGUUUUUAAAUACAAAGUUAAUAUUUCUUCUUAAAACAAUAAAAGGAACUUAGACCAUUUUAAUUCUGAUCACCCCAUGCUAACUUCUUUGCUAUUUUCUUUCAAUAUUUUAGUUAUAUCUCAUUUUCAUCAAUCCCACAAAUUAGACAAUUAUUGUUUUAUAAAGUGAAUUUUCACUUAGUUCUACAUACAUAUUUAUCAAGUUCUGUGCUUAUGUUUUAUCCUUGAAUAUUAAAUUUUCAUUUGGGAUCAUUUUUCUUCUGCCUGAAGAAUAUCACUUAGAAUUUCCUUUCAUGUUGGUAUUUUGACAGAAAACUCUGUUUUU